Molecule: long non-coding RNA, 274 nt
Organism: Wasmannia auropunctata (little fire ant)
Lineage: Eukaryota; Metazoa; Arthropoda; Insecta; Hymenoptera; Formicidae
Exons: 3
Source: RefSeq, a predicted model, not a curated record
GUAACGACACUAACGACGUCGGCUAUCGAUAAUAAUCCAUUGUCUUCCUUGUCAUAUCGACAGAGGCCGAUAUACCUCACAGACUUCGAUCGCGAUAACACUGGCUACUCUUCGUUGAUCCGCCACUAAGAGCGCGACUUCGCCGAAAUGGGCACCAUCAUUUAAAUGGCACAUCUCAAAAUAACAGAUUGGCGUUAAAACUGCAACAGUACCGGAGGAUAAAAAGAACAUGCAAUCACCCUGACUACCAGCUUUAAUGAUUACGUCAUUUGGC